GAUGAACGCUGGCGGCGUGCCUAAUACAUGCAAGUCGAACGAAACUUCUUUAUCACCGAGUGCUUGCACUCACCGAUAAAGAGGUGAGUGGCGAACGGGUGAGUAACACGUAGGCAGCCUGCCCAAAAGAGGGGGAUAACACUUGGCAACAGGUGCUAAUACCGCAUAACCAUAGUUACCGCAUGGUAACUAUGUUAAAGGUGGCUAUACUACCGCUUUUGGAUGGGCCCGCGGCGCAUUAGCUAGUUGGUAGGGUAAAGGCUUACCAAGGCAAUGAUGCGUAGCCGAAUUGAGAGGUUGAUCGGCCACAUUGGGACUGAGACACGGCCCAAACUCCUACGGGAGGCAGCAGUAGGGAAUCUUCCACAAUGGGCGAAAGCCUGAUGGAGCAACGCCGCGUGGGUGAAGAAGGUCUUCGGAUCGUAAAACCCUGUUGUUAGAGAAGAAAGUGCGUGUGAGUAACUGUUCACGUUUCGACGGUAUCUAACCAGAAAGCCACGGCUAACUACGUG
RNAcentral lists this ribosomal RNA (512 nucleotides) under uncultured bacterium. RNAcentral's name for it is "partial 16S ribosomal RNA". It matches the Rfam family "Bacterial small subunit ribosomal RNA", at positions 28 to 507 of the family's 1533-position model. The record is from RNAcentral.